AGACUCAGUUAUUAUUAUUAUUAUCUAGUAUUUUGCUUCUUCCUAUAUAUAAAUUUUAUUAAAUAAAUAAAUAAAUGAAUUACAUAUUGAUUCUUUAAAUUAUUGCAUUUGUGACACUUUGGUCUUUAAUUUUAAAUUAUUAUAAUUUCUGAUUUAAAUUUUAUACUCUCAAAAUUUUAAGUUGAUAUUUUGAACCCCCACUCUAUUAGAAUUUCGUUGUUGUUUCGUCUAUUUCUUAUAACUUAUAUUUGAACAUAUUGAAACGCCAUUCAAAAUGACAAAAGUAUAUUAAAAAUUAUUUUUUAUAAAAAAUAAGGAUAGUUUAAUUUUUUCAUCCUUUUUGUUAACGCUAUAAUUUUUUAAAAAUAAUUUUGAAAUUUUAGUGAAAGGAUGAAUAUUGUUAGAAAAUUUUUAAUAUUAAAGUAAUUACUUAUGUACUUCUGAAAAGUUUUCGACUUUCUUUUUUACUCCUCUUAGAAGGCUAAUAUUAAAAAUAUUUUUUUAAUAUUUCAAGUUAUUUUAAAUAUAUUUUUAAAGUUAAAUUCUAUUAGUAAAAUUACUAUUUUACCCAUUCAAAUAUAUUCUUUUAUUGUCACUUUCUUUUCUUAGUUGUCCUUACGUUAGAGGUAAAAGAGGUAUGUUGAUUUUUUUAACUGUUGUCGAAACUUAAUUCGGAUUUAACUCGAGAUAGUUUAACAGGUAUUAACAACAGAAUUAUUUUUGAAUAACACAAAAAUAUAUGAGAAGCAUAUUUGAAAUAAAAAAAGGAUAAACUUCAUAUAUCGUGCGGUUUAAAGUGUAUCAAUUUAGUAUCUUGUAGUUUUAUUUUUCUCUUUUCGUUAGCUCCUCCGUUAAUAUUUCGUUAAAUUAUCUACAAAAAAAAAAUUCAGAUACCCUAUCUAGAUUUAUCGAAUAUUCAUACCUUUUAGUUUUAACUUCGUCACUAAUUUAACAAAAAAAAUAUUAGAAGAAUGAAUAAUAAAAAGAAAAAAAUAAAAUCAGGAGGCACUAAAUUGAUACAUUUUAAAUCAUAAAGUAUUAAAAUAAAAAAAGUACGAAGCCAUGAGAAUAAUAUUUAAUUUUUAAAAAAAAAAUAAAAAAAAUAAAAAAUAUUUCAGAAACUUUGAGAGUUUUAUUACGUAUUAUCCUUUUAAUAUUUCAGAAAG
Molecule: long non-coding RNA, 1166 nt
Filed under: Ananas comosus (pineapple)
Lineage: Eukaryota; Viridiplantae; Streptophyta; Magnoliopsida; Poales; Bromeliaceae
Description: long non-coding RNA (ACOM_LNC001495)
Source: RNAcentral